UCUCCGUAGGUGAACCUGCGGAGGGAUCAUUACAGAGUUCAUGCCCUACCGGGUGGAUCUCCCACCCUAUGUUAUUAUUACUUUGUUGCUUUGGCGGGCCGUUAGGCUCCGGCCCGACUACCGGCCCCGGCUGGUAAGCGCCCGCCAGAGGACCCAAAACCCUGAAUAUUAGUGUCGUCUGAGUACUAUAUAAUAGUUAAAACUUUCAACAACGGAUCUCUUGGUUCUGGCAUCGAUGAUGAACGCAGC
Molecule: unclassified non-coding RNA, 249 nt
Filed under: plant metagenome
Description: partial contains small subunit ribosomal RNA, internal transcribed spacer 1, and 5.8S ribosomal RNA
Rfam family: 5.8S ribosomal RNA (bases 201-249)
Source: RNAcentral